Molecule: ribosomal RNA, 268 nt
Filed under: uncultured bacterium
Lineage: Bacteria
Description: partial 16S ribosomal RNA
Rfam family: Bacterial small subunit ribosomal RNA
Source: RNAcentral
GCUGGCGACCGGCGGCACGGGUGAGUAACACGUAUCCAACCUGCCCUUUACUCGGGGAUAGCCUUUCGAAAGAAAGAUUAAUACCCGAUAGUAUAAUGAUUCCGCAUGGUUUCAUUAUUAAAGGAUUCCGGUAAAGGAUGGGGAUGCGUUCCAUUAGGUUGUUGGUGAGGUAACGGCUCACCAAGCCUUCGAUGGAUAGGGGUUCUGAGAGGAAGGUCCCCCACAUUGGAACUGAGACACGGUCCAAACUCCUACGGGAGGCAGCAUG